UACGUAUGGGGCGAGCGUUGUCCGGAUUUAUUGGGCGUAAAGAGCUCGUAGGCGGCUUGGUAAGUCAGGUGUGAAAACUCCGAGCUCAACCCGGAGACGCCACUUGAUACUGCCAUGGCUUGAGUCCGGUAGGGGAUCACGGAAUUCCAGGUGUAGCGGCGAAAUGCGCAGAUAUCUGGAGGAACACCAGUGGCGAAGGCGGUGAUCUGGGCCGGUACUGACGCUGAGGAGCGAAAGCGUGGGGAGCAAACAGG
Molecule: unclassified non-coding RNA, 254 nt
Filed under: uncultured Acidimicrobiia bacterium
Lineage: Bacteria; Bacillati; Actinomycetota; Acidimicrobiia
Description: contains 16S-23S intergenic spacer region
Rfam family: Bacterial small subunit ribosomal RNA
Source: RNAcentral